This 253-nucleotide ribosomal RNA is filed under the name uncultured bacterium. Its description in RNAcentral is "partial 16S ribosomal RNA". It matches the Rfam family "Bacterial small subunit ribosomal RNA", at positions 524 to 776 of the family's 1533-position model. The record is from RNAcentral.
UACGUAGGGGGCUAGCGUUGUCCGGAAUCAUUGGGCGUAAAGAGCGUGUAGGCGGUCCGGUAAGUCCGCUGUGAAAGUCGGGGGCUCAACCCUCGAAUGCCGGUGGAUACUGUCGGGCUAGAGUGCGGAAGAGGCGAGUGGAAUUCCUGGUGUAGUAGUGAAAUGCGUAGAUAUCGGGAGGAACACCAGCGGCGAAGGCGACCUUCUGGACAGAUACUGACACUGAGGCACGAAAGCGUGGGGAGCAAACAGG